CCAAUAGCGUAUAUUAAAGUUGUUGCAGUUAAAAAGCUCGUAGUUGAAUUUCGGGAUCAAGUCGUCGGUCGUGCUCAGGUACGUACUGGCGUCAUUGAUUUCUCCCUUCUGACGAACCAUGAUGUCAUUAACUUGGUGUCAUGGGAAAUCAGGACUGUUACUUUGAAAAAAUUAGAGUGUUUAAAGCAGGCUCACGCUUGAAUACAUUAGCAUGGAAUAAUGAAAUAGGACGUUCGAUCCUAUUUUGUUGGUUUUAGGAUCAACGUAAUGAUUAAUAGGGAUAGUUGGGGGCAUUAGUAUUCAAUUGUCAUAGGUGAAAUUCUUGGAUUUAUUGAAGACUAACUACUGCGAAAGCAUUUGCCAAGGAUGUUUUCAUUAAUCAAGAACGAAAGUUAGGGGAUCGAAGACGAUCAGAUACCGUCGUAGUCUUAACCAUAAACUAUGCCGACUAGGGAUCGGAUGAUGUUAAUUUUUUAAUGACUCAUUCGGCGCCUUACG
Molecule: ribosomal RNA, 498 nt
Filed under: uncultured Glomus
Lineage: Eukaryota; Fungi; Glomeromycota; Glomeromycetes; Glomerales; Glomeraceae
Description: SSU rRNA
Rfam family: Eukaryotic small subunit ribosomal RNA
Source: RNAcentral